GCUCCAUGCAUCUGUACAGGGGAACAAGAGGAUGUUGUGUGACCGUUAAGCCCCUGUGCAAGCUAUUCACUUUGAAGGUCACAGGCCAUGUCUUCACAGCUAAGAGGGAAAGAGGAAGUGAGAGCAACGCAGAGAGUGAAGACGCCAUGGAGGCACUACAGAUGUCCUUGCACUUGUGAGCAAGCCACCCAGCAUGAUGCGGAAACUCUAGAAAGCAAGGUCUUCCUGUAAUUUAAACACC
Alligator sinensis (Chinese alligator) is the source of this 241-nucleotide long non-coding RNA. RefSeq lists it as uncharacterized. NCBI's taxonomy places the organism in Eukaryota, Metazoa, Chordata, Crocodylia, Alligatoridae. The record is from RefSeq and is a predicted model, not a curated record. The transcript has 3 exons.